Molecule: non-coding RNA, 23 nt
Filed under: Rattus norvegicus (Norway rat)
Lineage: Eukaryota; Metazoa; Chordata; Mammalia; Rodentia; Muridae
Source: RNAcentral
AUAUUGAUGGCCACCAAGUAGUC